ACAGCAGUCGCCGCGGUAAUACGAAGGGUGCAAGCGUUAAUCGGAAUUACUGGGCGUAAAGCGUGCGUAGGCGGUGAGUUAAGUCUGCUGUGAAAUCCCCGGGCUCAACCUGGGAAUGGCAGUGGAUACUGGCUCGCUAGAGUGUGUCAGAGGAUGGUGGAAUUCCCGGUGUAGCGGUGAAAUGCGUAGAGAUCGGGAGGAACAUCAGUGGCGAAGGCGGCCAUCUGGGACAACACUGACGCUGAGGCACGAAAGCGUGGGGAGCAAACAGGAUUAGAUACCCCGGUAGUCCCUGUCUCUUAUAC
Molecule: ribosomal RNA, 305 nt
Filed under: uncultured bacterium
Lineage: Bacteria
Description: partial 16S ribosomal RNA
Rfam family: Bacterial small subunit ribosomal RNA
Source: RNAcentral